UUCGAUACGCGCCUAGCCAACUCCAGCCUCCACACCCAGAUCGCCCUCUCCUCCCACCUCAGCCGCCAGGGCCUGCUGACUCCAUCUGUGGCCCACCCCAGGCCCGAACCAGCCGCUGCUCGCGAGCGAGUUCGCAUCGUCUCCUGCAGGAGCUCGCGUGCAAGCCCCGCGCGUGAGAGCUCCGCGCCAAUUCCUGCUCCUCCCCCGUGAACCAGCGCCCGUGCUGGUCGACGGCUGGCCGCCGAAGCGCCACCGCCGACCAGGAUCCUGGUGACCUCGCGUCGUCCGCCAUCUAUCUUCCUCUUCCCUCCAUUUCACUCUCUCACCCCGCAGACUCCCUCCCCCGCAGGAACAUCGUUGCAGCUCGUGCACCUCGCCAUUGGUCGACUCCACCUGUGUCGCUGUCAGAUCCGCCCCCUAGCACGUCCCCGGCCCGCCUUCAUGGCUCGUCCAUCGCCGCGGUAGAUGCUGGCACUGCUACAGCCUCCCUGCCUCGUCCCGAUCGGAUCCUCGGGGCCGAGCAUGUAUCCCACUCGCGUUCACUACUCAGCCUUCGUGUGGGCCACGCAAAGGACCAGUUCACCUGCGACCGGCCAGCACUACAGCACCAUCGCCCCGGCUGGCCCGCCUUGCCUUAUCAAGGCCGAGCUCACCCCGGCCCAGCUCAGCCUCGAUCCACCCCGACCUGCCCCAGCCUGCUACCCUAAAUAGGCCAAGCCCACUAGGUGAGCCACUGAUCUCCGCUAUCUGCCACUCGGGUCGUAGUUUAACUAUCUCGCGCAUAUAGAUUCGGCCCAUGCAUUUUUUUCGUUGUAGGAAUUUAGCUAAUUCUCGUGGAGAUUUUUAAAUUACACCAAAAUGCAUCAUUUUAAAAUGCCGAUAACUAAUUAACCUUGC
This 897-nucleotide long non-coding RNA is filed under the name Hordeum vulgare. RNAcentral's name for it is "long non-coding RNA (HVUL_LNC018929)". The record is from RNAcentral. Lineage: Eukaryota; Viridiplantae; Streptophyta; Magnoliopsida; Poales; Poaceae.